RNAcentral lists this transfer RNA (73 nucleotides) under Desertifilum tharense IPPAS B-1220. Its description in RNAcentral is "Desertifilum sp. IPPAS B-1220 tRNA". It matches the Rfam family "tRNA". From Rfam's summary of the family: Transfer RNA (tRNA) molecules are approximately 80 nucleotides in length. Their secondary structure includes four short double-helical elements and three loops (D, anti-codon, and T loops). Further hydrogen bonds mediate the characteristic L-shaped molecular structure. tRNAs have two regions of fundamental functional importance: the anti-codon, which is responsible for specific mRNA codon recognition, and the 3' end, to which the tRNAs corresponding amino acid is attached (by aminoacyl-tRNA synthetases). tRNAs cope with the degeneracy of the genetic code in two manners: having more than one tRNA (with a specific anti-codon) for a particular amino acid; and 'wobble' base-pairing, i.e. permitting non-standard base-pairing at the 3rd anti-codon position. The record is from Rfam by way of RNAcentral. Lineage: Bacteria; Bacillati; Cyanobacteriota; Cyanophyceae; Desertifilales; Desertifilaceae. RNAcentral also lists the same sequence under 6 other names.
GCCCUCGUAGCUCAGUGGAUAGAGCAAGGGAUUUCUAAUCCCUGGGCCGUAGGUUCGAUCCCUACCGAGGGCG